Molecule: long non-coding RNA, 2108 nt
Organism: Ailuropoda melanoleuca (giant panda)
Lineage: Eukaryota; Metazoa; Chordata; Mammalia; Carnivora; Ursidae
Exons: 2
Source: RefSeq, a predicted model, not a curated record
AGGCCCAGGUCUCAGGCCUCCUAGGUCACUGAGCUUUCCAGAUCCAAGUCCCUCCCAGACCUUGAGAAGUCACACUGAGGGGGAGGGAGGCCAGGCCUGACCCCGGGCAGCCUCUCCCCUUUCUCACACCCCAGGCAGAGGAAACAAGCUUGUGGUUGCAACACUGUGACCUCUGAGGUUCACAGCGGCCCUCUGCUGACCACAGCUGCCCCCCUGCACUGGCUGAGUCACACUCGGGCCAGCGCCUCCAGCCCAGCGCAGGGUGGGGGUGGCUUCUCCCACACUCAGGCUCUUCCAGAGACUUCCAUCCCGUUUGGACACAGCUCUGUGGUGGGCAGAGAGCUCAUGACUCUGAGCCCAGGGACCUGGGCUGGGUGGCUUGGCUUCUGUGCGGACAGUGGGCUUCGGGCUGGAAACCCUCCUGGAGAUGCAUGGACUCAGUCCACUGCCGGGGGAGCCGGGCGCUCGGACCAGACACCGCGAGGCUGACUCUCCUCUUCCCCCCCCUUCCCUGUGUGUCCCUGGACACAGGGCUGGACGGCCCUGCGUCCGAGAUCUCAGCACAGCGGGGAUGUGGAGCUGCUGCCGGAGUCGCUGGGAGCCCGAAGCCCCCGUCCAGUGCGGACGCGUCAGUGGGAAUCAGAACGUCCUUCCCGACGUGGACACUGGAUUCCUCGUCCCCCGGAGAGCAACGCUGUGACCCCUGGGGAGUCAGUGAUCCUGGCGUGGCCGUCGGAUGGGAAGGGACGGGUGAGGAACAAGACAUGCACCACUUCCCACGGGUGCUGGAACAAGCAGGGGACGACUGGGGGACGUGUGCCCCGAGCUUGCAGCCGCUGGGUGGGGGGAUCAGAGGGCCCAUGGGCUCCCCACUGCUUGGCGUCGGACACAGCAAGCCGAGAACAACCGGAGAAGGAAGGAGGCGUCCCACCUGGGGUUGGUGUGGGAGCUGAGCCCUGCCCUUCCCACCAUCAGCAUCCGGGACAGCAGCUCUGUCCCGGCCCAGGGGCCUCCCCUCUGUGACCCUCAGAGCCCUGGGACCCCACAAGGGAUGCUGCCAUCUGUGCCCAAACCCUCAAGCCCUCCUGUCAUGGGAGUGGAAGGACCCCUCCCUCCCUCAGAUGCCGUCCCGGGGGCAGAACCCGUCCUUGAGCUCAGAACUGCCCCUGGUUCUCCAGACCCCAUAAGAGCUGCUUGGGCCAUCCCAGCGCGGUACGGACCCCACUGCUCAGCCCCCCUUUCUCUUCCUGGGCCCGCUGCCUAGGAUCCUGUGAGGGGGGAGGCAGCUCACUGUCCCCAUUCUCUGCAGGGUGGGCAGAUCUCGGGGGACCUGCUUAACAGCAUCUGAGCCACAGAGCAGGGCCCCCACCCCGACCUGGGGGAACACGGACUGCUGAAGGCUGUGCGGGUGUUGCUGAAUGUGGACUUGCAGUAGUACCCUUUCCUUUUCUCACACACCCAUCCUUUCACACCCGGACGCCAAACGGCGUUUCCUUUAGUAACGAAUAUUUUAGCCACUCUCUUUCCUUCUGAAGAUGAUUGUGAUGAAUUCCCUACCCUCCAUAUCCUCCAAAUCUACUCAAAACAGCCCCACAAACUGGAGAAUAAUCUGGCCUGAAGGGCUCAGGUGGCAUCUAUGCGUGUGGAGAAGAAACCCCUUCCCGAUUCCCUGUGCUUGAAACGACCGGCCCGCCCGGCACCAAGGAGCACAGCGCGUGUGCAGACCGAACCCCACUCCUGGGCAGAUGUAGAGCUCCCCGCAGGAGUGGCUGCUUCGCGGCCUGAAGCAGGAGUGUCGGAGAUGGGCCGGGAGCAUCGGGCACCUCGGAGGAGGAGCCCGCGAAAGAGCACCCAGGGGCAACUCUAGAACUCCGCGAGCAGCAGCCUAAGAGACCUGAUGCUGAAGAGUUUUCCUGAGGAAAGGAUGCUGUACUUCGUCAAGUGCUUUUCCUGCAACAAUCAAGAGGAUCACAUGGUUCUUGUCCCUUCUCUUAUUAAGAUGCUCUAUUACGUCGAUUGAUUUCCAAGUGUUGAACCACCCUUGCAGCCCAGGAGUAAAUCCCACCGAGUUGUGGUGAAUAAUCCUUUCAAUAAACUGUUGGAUCCUG